GGGUUGUGAGGUUAAGCGACUAAGCGUACACGGUGGAUGCCCUGGCAGUCAGAGGCGAUGAAGGACGUGCUAAUCUGCGAUAAGCGUCGGUAAGGUGAUAUGAACCGUUAUAACCGGCGAUUUCCGAAUGGGGAAACCCAGUGUGUUUCGACACACUAUCAUUACGUGAAUACAUAGCGUAAUGAAGCGAACCGGGGGAACUGAAACAUCUAAGUACCCCGAGGAAAAGAAAUCAACCGAGAUUCCCCCAGUAGCGGCGAGCGAACGGGGAGCAGCCCAGAGUCUGAAUCAGCUUGUGUGUUAGUGGAACGGUCUGGAAAGUCCGACGGUACAGGGUGAUAGUCCCGUACACCAAAAUGCACAGGUUGUGAACUCGAAGAGUAGGGCGGGACACGUGGUAUCCUGUCUGAAUAUGGGGGGACCAUCCUCCAAGGCUAAAUACUCCUGACUGACCGAUAGUGAACCAGUACCGUGAGGGAAAGGCGAAAAGAACCCCGGCGAGGGGAGUGAAAAAGAACCUGAAACCGUGUACGUACAAGCAGUGGGAGCCUCUUUAUGGGGUGACUGCGUACCUUUUGUAUAAUGGGUCAGCGACUUAUAUUCUGUAGCAAGGUUAACCGUAUAGGGGAGCCGAAGGGAAACCGAGUCUUAACUGGGCGUUAAGUUGCAGGGUAUAGACCCGAAACCCGGUGAUCUAGCCAUGGGCAGGUUGAAGGUUGGGUAACACUAACUGGAGGACCGAACCGACUAAUGUUGAAAAAUUAGCGGAUGACUUGUGGCUGGGGGUGAAAGGCCAAUCAAACCGGGAGAUAGCUGGUUCUCCCCGAAAGCUAUUUAGGUAGCGCCUCGUGAACUCAUCUUCGGGGGUAGAGCACUGUUUCGGCUAGGGGGUCAUCCCGACUUACCAACCCGAUGCAAACUGCGAAUACCGAAGAAUGUUAUCACGGGAGACACACGGCGGGUGCUAACGUCCGUCGUGAAGAGGGAAACAACCCAGACCGCCAGCUAAGGUCCCAAAGUCAUGGUUAAGUGGGAAACGAUGUGGGAAGGCACAGACAGCCAGGAUGUUGGCUUAGAAGCAGCCAUCAUUUAAAGAAAGCGUAAUAGCUCACUGGUCGAGUCGGCCUGCGCGGAAGAUGUAACGGGGCUAAACCAUGCACCGAAGCUGCGGCAGCGACACUAUGUGUUGUUGGGUAGGGGAGCGUUCUGUAAGCCGUUGAAGGUGUAUCGUGAGGUAUGCUGGAGGUAUCAGAAGUGCGAAUGCUGACAUAAGUAACGAUAAUGCGGGUGAAAAACCCGCACGCCGGAAGACCAAGGGUUCCUGUCCAACGUUAAUCGGGGCAGGGUGAGUCGACCCCUAAGGCGAGGCCGAAAGGCGUAGUCGAUGGGAAACAGGUUAAUAUUCCUGUACUUGGUGUUACUGCGAAGGGGGGACGGAGAAGGCUAUGUUAGCCGGGCGACGGUUGUCCCGGUUUAAGCAUGUAGGCGGAGGUUCCAGGUAAAUCCGGUACCUUUUAACGCUGAGGUGUGAUGACGAGGCACUACGGUGCUGAAGUAACAAAUGCCCUGCUUCCAGGAAAAGCCUCUAAGCAUCAGGUAACACGAAAUCGUACCCCAAACCGACACAGGUGGUCAGGUAGAGAAUACCAAGGCGCUUGAGAGAACUCGGGUGAAGGAACUAGGCAAAAUGGUGCCGUAACUUCGGGAGAAGGCACGCUGAUAUGUAGGUGAAGCGGUUUACCCGUGGAGCUGAAAUCAGUCGAAGAUACCAGCUGGCUGCAACUGUUUAUUAAAAACACAGCACUGUGCAAACACGAAAGUGGACGUAUACGGUGUGACGCCUGCCCGGUGCCGGAAGGUUAAUUGAUGGGGUUAUCCGUAAGGAGAAGCUCUUGAUCGAAGCCCCGGUAAACGGCGGCCGUAACUAUAACGGUCCUAAGGUAGCGAAAUUCCUUGUCGGGUAAGUUCCGACCUGCACGAAUGGCGUAAUGAUGGCCAGGCUGUCUCCACCCGAGACUCAGUGAAAUUGAACUCGCUGUGAAGAUGCAGUGUACCCGCGGCAAGACGGAAAGACCCCGUGAACCUUUACUAUAGCUUGACACUGAACACUGGUCCUUGAUGUGUAGGAUAGGUGGGAGGCUUUGAAGUGUGGACGCCAGUCUGCAUGGAGCCAUCCUUGAAAUACCACCCUUUAAUGGCUGGUGUUCUAACGUGGACCCGUUACCCGGGUUGCGGACAGUGUCUGGUGGGUAGUUUGACUGGGGCGGUCUCCUCCUAAAGAGUAACGGAGGAGCACGAAGGUUAGCUAAUCCUGGUCGGACAUCAGGAGGUUAGUGCAAAGGCAUAAGCUAGCUUGACUGCGAGAGUGACGGCUCGAGCAGGUGCGAAAGCAGGUCUUAGUGAUCCGGUGGUUCUGAAUGGAAGGGCCAUCGCUCAACGGAUAAAAGGUACUCCGGGGAUAACAGGCUGAUACCGCCCAAGAGUUCAUAUCGACGGCGGUGUUUGGCACCUCGAUGUCGGCUCAUCACAUCCUGGGGCUGAAGUAGGUCCCAAGGGUAUGGCUGUUCGCCAUUUAAAGUGGUACGCGAGCUGGGUUUAGAACGUCGUGAGACAGUUCGGUCCCUAUCUGCCGUGGGCGCUGGAGAAUUGAGGGGGGCUGCUCCUAGUACGAGAGGACCGGAGUGGACGCAUCACUGGUGUUCGGGUUGUCAUGCCAAUGGCAUUGCCCGGUAGCUAAAUGCGGAAGAGAUAAGUGCUGAAAGCAUCUAAGCACGAAACUUGCCCCGAGAUGAGUUCUCCCUGAGACUUUAAGUCUCCUGAAGGAACGUUGAAGACGACGACGUUGAUAGGUCGGGUGUGUAAGUGUAGCGAUACAUUGAGCUAACCGAUACUAAUGAACCGUGAGGCUUAACCUUACAACGCCGAAG
RNAcentral lists this ribosomal RNA (2927 nucleotides) under Citrobacter freundii. RNAcentral describes it as "23S ribosomal RNA". It matches the Rfam family "Bacterial large subunit ribosomal RNA". Lineage: Bacteria; Pseudomonadati; Pseudomonadota; Gammaproteobacteria; Enterobacterales; Enterobacteriaceae. The record is from RNAcentral.